UACGAAGGUCCCGAGCGUUGUUCGGAAUCACUGGGCGUAGAGGGAGCGUAGGCGGCGUGGUAAGUCAGAUGUGAAAUCCCGGGGCUCAACCCCGGAACUGCAUCCGAUACUGCCAUGCUAGAGGAUUGGAGAGGUAGCUGGAAUUCUUGGUGUAGCAGUGAAAUGCGUGGAGAUCAAGAGGAACACUCGUGGCGAAAGCGAGCUACUGGACAAUAUCUGACGCUGAGGCUCGAAGGCCAGGGUAGCGAAAGGG
Molecule: ribosomal RNA, 253 nt
Filed under: uncultured bacterium
Lineage: Bacteria
Description: partial 16S ribosomal RNA
Rfam family: Bacterial small subunit ribosomal RNA
Source: RNAcentral